GAGGUAAGAUUUGAAAAUAUUAACAUGAUUUAAAUUACCUUAAACGGAUGCGGUAACUCUGACUGUAAUAAAGUAGCAUAAUUAGUUGUCAUUUAAUUGGUGAAGGGUAUGAAUGGUUGAAUGAAUCCUGAACUGUUUUAUAGUAAAUAAUAUUAAAAUUGUAAUAAUAGUGAAGAUACUAUUUAAUAAAGUAAGACGAAAAGACCCUAUAGAGCUUUACUAUAAUCUUUUUACAUUUAAACAUAACUAUAAUUUAAAACAAUUAUGAAAAAAAAGAAAGAUUGGUAGUUUAGUUGGGGCGACUGUUUUCUAUAAAUAACGAAAAUAAGCAAAUAUAAUAUUAAUAUUUAUUGUAUAACAAAAAAAUUUAACAAUUAUAAAUGUAGGCUAUAAUGACCCGUUGAAUUUAAUUAAUAAUUUUAACGAUUAAUUGAUAAAAGUUACCUUAGGGAUAACAGGAUAAUUUUGAAUUAGAGUUCUUAUCAUUUUCAAAGUUUGUCACCUCUA
RNAcentral lists this ribosomal RNA (507 nucleotides) under Corymorpha bigelowi. Its description in RNAcentral is "partial 16S ribosomal RNA". It matches the Rfam family "Bacterial large subunit ribosomal RNA", at positions 1884 to 2529 of the family's 2925-position model. The record is from RNAcentral. Lineage: Eukaryota; Metazoa; Cnidaria; Hydrozoa; Anthoathecata; Corymorphidae.